This 458-nucleotide long non-coding RNA is filed under the name Sinocyclocheilus anshuiensis. Its description in RNAcentral is "lncRNA (ENSSANG00000037118.1)". Lineage: Eukaryota; Metazoa; Chordata; Actinopteri; Cypriniformes; Cyprinidae. The record is from RNAcentral.
ACCGAAUUAGCCGGAUCCUGAUUAGCGCGAUGAUAUCAUCUUGGAUGUGACAUUUCUUCUCGGAUAAAAUAAGCGACAUACGAAGAACGGGCCUCUGAUAUCGUGUGAUAUAACGUUAAUUAUGUUUUAUUUGUUAAUCUUUGUUGCCAUCAUGGAUUAUGGCUUGUUUUCUUUAAUUUAUGGCUCGAGACUGAAGAAAACACGACAACGUCACCGGAACACAGGAAAUACCAUCUUCUUAACCAGGUUUUUGAUCUAUAUGUCCAUACAUGACCUCUCGUAUAAAGGCCAGUGCUGUGAAGAUACGUUGGGACCAGAUCCAAAGCGUUUGAGAACCAGCAAGCAGCAGUCUUAAAAAACUGGAGACUGAGGCACCACCAGAGAGGAAGAGGGAGGGACCGCCGAUGUAGAGGUAUGAUGACGGACAGCUGGAGACUGAGGAGAAGAGAAAGACUGAG